AGACCCGAAACCCGGUGAUCUAGCCAUGGGCAGGUUGAAGGUUGGGUAACACUAACUGGAGGACCGAACCGACUAAUGUUGAAAAAUUAGCGGAUGACCUGUGGCUGGGGGUGAAAGGCCAAUCAAACCGGGAGAUAGCUGGUUCUCCCCGAAAGCUAUUUAGGUAGCGCCUCGUGAAUUCAUCUCCGGGGGUAGAGCACUGUUUCGGCUAGGGGGCCAUCCCGGCUUACCAACCCGAUGCAAACUGCGAAUACCGGAGAAUGUUAUCACGGGAGACACACGGCGGGUGCUAACGUCCGUCGUGAAGAGGGAAACAACCCAGACCGCCAGCUAAGGUCCCAAAGUCAUGGUUAAGUGGGAAACGAUGUGGGAAGGCCCAGACAGCCAGGAUGUUGGCUUAGAAGCAGCCAUCAUUUAAAGAAAGCGUAAUAGCUCACUGGUCGAGUCGGCCUGCGCGGAAGAUGUAACGGGGCUAAACCAUGCACCGAAGCUGCGGCAGCGACACUAUGUGUUGUUGGGUAGGGGAGCGUUCUGUAAGCCUGCGAAGGUGGCCUGUGAGGGUUGCUGGAGGUAUCAGAAGUGCGAAUGCUGACAUAAGUAACGAUAAAGCGGGUGAAAAGCCCGCUCGCCGGAAGACCAAGGGUUCCUGUCCAACGUUAAUCGGGGCAGGGUGAGUCGACCCCUAAGGCGAGGCCGAAAGGCGUAGUCGAUGGGAAACGGGUUAAUAUUCCCGUACUUGGUGUUACUGCGAAGGGGGGACGGAGAAGGCUAUGUUGGCCGGGCGACGGUUGUCCCGGUUUAAGCGUGUAGGUGUGUGUUCCAGGUAAAUCCGGUUCACUUUAACACUGAGGCGUGACGACGAGGCACUACGGUGCUGAAGCAACAAAUGCCCUGCUUCCAGGAAAAGCCUCUAAGCAUCAGGUAACAUCAAAUCGUACCCCAAACCGACACAGGUGGUCAGGUAGAGAAUACCAAGGCGCUUGAGAGAACUCGGGUGAAGGAACUAGGCAAAAUGGUGCCGUAACUUCGGGAGAAGGCACGCUGACACGUAGGUGAAGUGAUUUACUCACGGAGCUGAAGUCAGUCGAAGAUACCAGCUGGCUGCAACUGUUUAUUAAAAACACAGCACUGUGCAAACACGAAAGUGGACGUAUACGGUGUGACGCCUGCCCGGUGCCGGAAGGUUAAUUGAUGGGGUCAGCGCAAGCGAAGCUCCUGAUCGAAGCCCCGGUAAACGGCGGCCGUAACUAUAACGGUCCUAAGGUAGCGAAAUUCCUUGUCGGGUAAGUUCCGACCUGCACGAAUGGCGUAAUGAUGGCCAGGCUGUCUCCACCCGAGACUCAGUGAAAUUGAACUCGCUGUGAAGAUGCAGUGUACCCGCGGCAAGACGGAAAGACCCCGUGAACCUUUACUAUAGCUUGACACUGAACAUUGAGCCUUGAUGUGUAGGAUAGGUGGGAGGCUUUGAAGCGUGGACGCCAGUCUGCGUGGAGCCGACCUUGAAAUACCACCCUUUAAUGUUUGAUGUUCUAACGUGGACCCGUGAUCCGGGUUGCGGACAGUGUCUGGUGGGUAGUUUGACUGGGGCGGUCUCCUCCUAAAGAGUAACGGAGGAGCACGAAGGUUGGCUAAUCCUGGUCGGACAUCAGGAGGUUAGUGCAAUGGCAUAAGCCAGCUUGACUGCGAGCGUGACGGCGCGAGCAGGUGCGAAAGCAGGUCAUAGUGAUCCGGUGGUUCUGAAUGGAAGGGCCAUCGCUCAACGGAUAAAAGGUACUCCGGGGAUAACAGGCUGAUACCGCCCAAGAGUUCAUAUCGACGGCGGUGUUUGGCACCUCGAUGUCGGCUCAUCACAUCCUGGGGCUGAAGUAGGUCCCAAGGGUAUGGCUGUUCGCCAUUUAAAGUGGUACGCGAGCUGGGUUUAGAACGUCGUGAGACAGUUCGGUCCCUAUCUGCCGUGGGCGCUGGAGAACUGAGGGGGGCUGCUCCUAGUACGAGAGGACCGGAGUGGACGCAUCACUGGUGUUCGGGUUGUCAUGCCAAUGGCACUGCCCGGUAGCUAAAUGCGGAAGAGAUAAGUGCUGAAAGCAUCUAAGCACGAAACUUGCCCCGAGAUGAGUUCUCCCUGAGACUUUAGGUCUCCUGAAGGAACGUUGAAGACGACGACGUUGAUAGGCCGGGUGUGUAAGCGCAGCGAUGCGUUGAGCUAACCGGUACUAAUGAACCGUGAGGCUUAACCUUACA
RNAcentral lists this ribosomal RNA (2241 nucleotides) under Salmonella enterica. Its description in RNAcentral is "partial 23S ribosomal RNA". It matches the Rfam family "Bacterial large subunit ribosomal RNA", at positions 711 to 2925 of the family's 2925-position model. The record is from RNAcentral. Lineage: Bacteria; Pseudomonadati; Pseudomonadota; Gammaproteobacteria; Enterobacterales; Enterobacteriaceae.